AAGUCGUAACAAGGUUUCCGUAGGUGAACCUGCGGAAGGAUCAUUAGUGAAAACUCUCUGGGGGAAAGGUCUUCCUUUCCUCGGAACCUCUCACAUCCACACACACUUGUGCAACGUUCCGGAGGCGUUCCCCUCUCCGACCACCACGGUCGGGAAGGGAUGCAGCCCUCGGCUUAUAUCUUCAACUCUUGUCUACGAAUGUAUUGCAUACGCCUUAACGGGGCAAAAUGAAAAACAAAA
RNAcentral lists this unclassified non-coding RNA (240 nucleotides) under plant metagenome. RNAcentral's name for it is "partial contains small subunit ribosomal RNA and internal transcribed spacer 1". The stretch from base 1 to 46 matches the Rfam family "Eukaryotic small subunit ribosomal RNA", at positions 1786 to 1831 of the family's 1831-position model. The record is from RNAcentral.